UGCCCGCCACACUGUCCCAGCACAGGACGGGAUAGGCCCAAGGCCCGUCUCAGCAACCUGGCCUGGAGUCCUAAUUGUGCCUUUGACGGUGGCCUUGGAAGAGAGGCUCCAUCUCCCCAGGCUCGAUUUCCUCGUCUGCAACAAGGAGCCCAGCUCGGGCGGCUCCGAGCUCCGCCUGGGCUCCUGGGCCAUCGGGGUGGCCCGGCCUGGCUCCGCACCUCCAUGAACCACAGCAGCACUCCAGGCUCCUGGACCCGGUGCCGCGUGGAGCCCCAUUCCUGUCCCUGAUGGCUACACCUGGGGGUGCUUGUGGCGGUGGAGGGGGCCUGUGUGGCAGGUCCCUGGGGGGUCCUGAGUGCUGGCUGUGUUCCAGCAGAGGACAGACAGGUCAUGGAGCCUCCUGCCACACUUGGGCGACCUCUGGGCCCUGGCAUUGCUUGUGAAGACGGGAGGCCAGAUGGGGCGGGCUGAGCCGCCUGGCCAGGCUCCUUGAUGGGCAGGCCGCGGGCUGGCACCGGGCAGGCGGAAAUUCAAGACCUCCACUCCACUCAGAGCCCUGGGCAGGUCAGUUUCCCUCUGUGCUCUGCCGCACGGGUCUUGGAAUCAUCUGGCCUCGCAGCACAGCGGCCCGUGUAGGGGAGCAGCCCGGGGGAUGCAGGACUGCGGUUAGGGCACUGAGGCCCUGUGAGGGCCAGGGCAGGCGGUGGUCCCAAGGUGCUGCUCUGAUUUUGUUUUAAAAAUCUGAUGAAAGAUCCACAGUGUGACAUCAGCCAUCCUGGCCAGGUCCAAAGGCCGGGUCCCAGCCCUGGCGCACAGCCACGCGCGGCCACCCCCAGAGUGUUCCCAUGGACCUAGGCGGAAGCUCUGUCCCCUCAACACCAGCCCUGCCAGCCCAGCCCAGCCGCUUCCUGGGUCCCCUCUGUGUCUGACCCUCCCCCACAGGGGCACCGACAGGCCACCCCUGUUGGCCAGGGUCACAUUUGCUU
RNAcentral lists this long non-coding RNA (986 nucleotides) under Marmota monax (woodchuck). Lineage: Eukaryota; Metazoa; Chordata; Mammalia; Rodentia; Sciuridae. The record is from RNAcentral.